RNAcentral lists this ribosomal RNA (253 nucleotides) under uncultured bacterium. RNAcentral describes it as "partial 16S ribosomal RNA". It matches the Rfam family "Bacterial small subunit ribosomal RNA", at positions 524 to 776 of the family's 1533-position model. The record is from RNAcentral.
UACGGAGGGUGCAAGCGUUAUCCGGAUUCACUGGGUUUAAAGGGUGCGUAGGUGGGCAGGUAAGUCAGUGGUGAAAUCUCUGGGCUUAACCCGGAAACUGCCAUUGAUACUAUAGGUCUUGAAUACUCUGGAGGUAAGCGGAAUAUGUCAUGUAGCGGUGAAAUGCUUAGAUAUGACAUAGAACACCAAUUGCGAAGGCAGCUUACUACGGGGUCAUUGACACUGAGGCACGAAAGCGUGGGGAUCAAACAGG